AUUGAACGCUGGCGGCAUGCCUAACACAUGCAAGUCGAACGGUAACAGGGCUUCGGCUGCUGAUGAGUGGCGAACGGGUGAGUAAGACAGAGGAAUGCGCCCGAACGUGGGGGAUAACGGAGCGUAAGGUAUGCUAAUACACCAUACGAUCUACGGAGGACAGCAGGUGAACGCAAGGCCUCUUGCGACCUGGCGGGCCGAUGGCAGAUUAGGUAGUUGGUGGGAUAUAAGCGUACCAAGCCGACGAUCUGUAGCUGGUCUGAGAGGACGAGCAGCCACACUGGAACUGAGACACGGCCCAGACUCCUACGGGAGGCAGCAGUGGGGAAUAUUGGACAAUGGGCGAAAGCCUGAUCCAGCCAUGCCGCGUGCGGGAUGAAGGCCUUCGGGUUGUAAACUGCUUUUGUACGGAACGAAAAGACGCUGGUUAAUACCUGGCUGCCAUGACGGUACCGUAAGAAUAAGCACCGGCUAACUACGUG
Molecule: ribosomal RNA, 482 nt
Filed under: uncultured bacterium
Lineage: Bacteria
Description: partial 16S ribosomal RNA
Rfam family: Bacterial small subunit ribosomal RNA
Source: RNAcentral